RNAcentral lists this small nuclear RNA (318 nucleotides) under Dasypus novemcinctus (nine-banded armadillo). RNAcentral's name for it is "7SK RNA (ENSDNOG00000047064.1)". The stretch from base 2 to 271 matches the Rfam family "7SK RNA". Rfam says of the family: 7SK was discovered as an abundant small nuclear RNA in the mid-70s but a possible function has only recently been suggested. Two independent studies have found that 7SK RNA binds the CDK9/cyclin T complex (known as elongation factor P-TEFb). P-TEFb activates transcription by phosphorylating the C-terminal domain of RNA polymerase II. The record is from RNAcentral. Lineage: Eukaryota; Metazoa; Chordata; Mammalia; Cingulata; Dasypodidae.
UGGAUGAGAGCACUUGGGUUGUCACAUGUCACCCCACAGAUCCUCAUGUUCCUUGGGCUGAUCUGGCUGGCUGUGUGGCAGCUGUCUCUCAUGACCACAGGUGGUCUCUCCCAAAGUUGCACAUAUUUGGAAAACAACGACCUUUUUAGCAGGCAUAGAAGCACCAUUCUUUUGUCAAGGAUGUACCAGCAGCUUUCUAAAAAUUUUCAUUUUAGCUCAAGUAAUUACAGAAAUAUAUUUGGGCCCUUAUGUUAUAUAGUAGACAAAAAUUAAUUCAAAAUAGAUCGUAGGCAGGGAAACGGACUUUGGCCCAGUGGU